This is a long non-coding RNA of Rhincodon typus (whale shark), 2798 nucleotides long. RefSeq lists it as uncharacterized. NCBI's taxonomy places the organism in Eukaryota, Metazoa, Chordata, Chondrichthyes, Orectolobiformes, Rhincodontidae. The transcript is spliced from 3 exons. The record is from RefSeq and is a predicted model, not a curated record.
AGGGCAGCCGCCAGGUUCGGUUGCGGUGUGUCGCUGGGAGGCGCAGUGCCUGGGCUUCCACGUAUGCAGGUCGUAUUCAAGUUACAGGCCAGGAUCGGGGAGGAGAGCAAUCGCUCCCAGCAUCCGAUCCAAAAGUGGCUUCCCUGCGUCUGUUAAGCAAGUACAGGAGCUAAAAAAACCUUUGUCAAAAAGCACCUUGCAAACUGCCUUUGUUCACCAAAUACUUAGAUGAGCUUUCCGAAUUUAUAUUAAUUGCGCAGAAUAGUGCUUUAAAAAUAAUAUGUAAUAAUUGUAACUCUCCAACUCGCCCUUGUUUUAAAGGUGAAACCCACAUUCCAAACCAGCGUCUGUGGUUUUAAUCUGUGCAUUUUCAAGUGUGGAAUGCAAUUUUCUACAUCAGCUACCAGAGCUAAUGCCACAUCUUUAUUUCGUUAGCAGUUGUUAUUGAUUUUAUUCAGGAUGGGCAGACACCAAAGCUGAAUUCGAACUUAUUCUAUGGGUGCUGCCUCAGGAUUGCGCAUUCUGAUUUGUGAUCAUUCAAAUGACACAGGACUACACUUUGUCACUGUGAUGCCAUGUGAUUAUUUCGGAUGCACCCAAUAUGCAUAUCCAUGGCUGGAAGUUCGGAGUUCCCUGAGGAGCCAUUGUAUGGCUUCCAUAAAUAAUUUUUUAAAAAUGUUUUUCUUUCUUUUGCAGUCAACUGUUAUGUUACUCUUGCAAUGUGCGUCAGUUACUUUUUUUCGCACUGCAUCUGUCACAAUUUGCUUAACAAAUUUUAUAUACAUUUUCCCCUUGCUCUCUUUCUGUUUUUCUUUGUUACUUUCUUUUUGAAAUCUUAGAUGUCUGAGGAAAUGAGUAAGCUGUGACCAGAAUCUGCAACCUACAGAAGUAGGUGGAGUCGGCAUCUAACAGUGAGAAAUGGUAGAAUCAUCAAUAGAAACGUGUGUUUGGCCUGCUGGACUUGAAAAAUGUUGGAAUGAAAUUUGGGCAGGCUUUGAUUACAAAAGCAUAGAAAGAUGUGGGUGAAGGAAUUGAUUUGAAAAGUGUAGACCAAAUUUAUAAGGAGGUUAGGAAAACUUAGCAAAUUAUAGAAUUUUGUAUUUAUUAAUUAUGUAGUAUACUGGAUGAGGAAAUGUAAUACUCACUUAUAAAGACGGCCUUUAAUUAUAAAUUAUUUGAUUGCUUCAAGAUGUCAGCUGGUUAACAUGGACUAAUAUUAGCACCUGAUGCACAUGUAGCAGUCAGCAAUAUUAAAGGAUAGGAUUUUACAAUCAUACACAACAGGAACUGAGUUCCAGGUCGUAUUUGACUCCUAUAGAUUAUGAGAAGAUGGGCCUUUCACUAUGGGAAAAUAAAUUAUUCUUCCAACAAUAUUCCAUAAUACAACCCCUCCCACCAUCUUUUAAGAUCAACUGCAAAGUCCUGGAAAGUGUUCUCCAUCCUCCAUAUCUUCGGAGCCUUCCCUUGACAAAGACCAACACAGACAACAAAAAUUAUCAAAAGUUCUAAGGAUAAGUAAAUGGGAACUCCACCUUAAAACUAAAGUCAAGGUUUACGGACCAGUGAUUCCCACAUUCCUGCAUGCUUUGGAGAUUUAGACAAGUUUCAGCAGGCACCUCAAGGCACUGGAAGAGUACCAUCAGUGGUGCCUUCGCAUAAUCCUCCAAAUCUGAUGACGAGGCAGACAGUCCAAUAGCAGUAUCCUCUGCCAAGCCAACAUGGCCAGCAUUGAGGUGCUACUCACUCAAAAGCAGUUAUGUAUGAUGUAUCAUUCAUAUGCCUGACACCAGACUUCAGAAGCAACUGUUCAACUUUGAACUUGAUGGUGACAGGACACACCUGGGAGAACAGUACAAUCUGUUGAAUAUGUGCUCAAAGUAUCAAUGAAGAAAUUAAACAUCCCCGCUCAAAAGAGGUCUUGGCUUGUGACCAACGAAAGUGAUUUAUUCAAGAAGGCAUUGAAUAUAUAGAGAAAUAUCAUUGGGAGCAUGCAGACACAAAGCUGAGGCAUCGGAGGAGAGCACAAACCUGCAUAAUCCUAAUCUGCCUGACCCUUCAAGCACCACAUUUCUCACAGUAUCCACAGGUCCUAUAGGAUCUGUGGAGGAUCUACAAAUCACACACUGAAUCUGUCAACCAUCUCAGAACCCAUUGAAUUAUAGUGCAAACAAGUCAUUUUUGAUCUAGAAGGGCUGCCUAAUAAGAAGAUAUCACAACAGGCACACAGACACAAGAUAAAUACUGACCAACACUAUUGUUCUGUUUGUUGGUACACUAUGUAUCAAACUGAAUAAACCUGAAAUGAUUUUCUGAAACUUCAGGAAACCUAAAUCAGCUGUGAAUUCCCAGCCAGUUCAGAUGUUUUUCAUCCUUAGCUGUUAGUUGAGUCUUCGCUCAUAAAAUUUUCCUCUAGUUAGAAAGUUUGCAGUUAUGACAAAAAUGAGGGACUGUAAUGUUUUUCACCUUUUUCCAGUACUAAUGACACUGGUCAGUCCCUGUCAUCUUUAUGUAGGCUGAGGAUUUUCAGAGCUUUCUCAGAUGAGCAAAAAUGGGAGCUGAGAAAAGCAGACUUAAAAGGUAAAAUACAGCAGUUGAUAGAGGGAAAUGGAGGAAUGUCUCCUGAGAGUCAAGCUCACGCAGCUUCAUACUAAUUCUGCCUGAGCCAAGUCUAAGUUAUGGCAAGCCUAGUGGUAUUUAUGCUAAACUAUUAAUCCAGAAACUGAUGUUCUGGGGACUUGAAUUGAAUCCUGCCAAAGCAGAUGGCAAUUUGAAUUUAAUUAAAAAUAUCUGGAAUUAAG